Molecule: ribosomal RNA, 500 nt
Filed under: uncultured bacterium
Lineage: Bacteria
Description: bacterial SSU rRNA
Rfam family: Bacterial small subunit ribosomal RNA
Source: RNAcentral
AACGAACGCUGGCGGCGUGCCUAACACAUGCAAGUCGAGCGGAGUUGAUAUGAAGCAGCGAUACGGAGAAUCAACUGAGCGGCGAACGGGUGAGUAACACGUAGGUAACCUGCCCAUAUGACGGGGAUAGCCCCUCGAAAGGGGGAUUAAUACCGGAUAAAGUUAACUAUUGUGAAGUAGGGAACAAAAGGGUGCCUUUCGGGGUGCUGCGUAUGGAUGGGCCUGCGCCCUAUCAGCUAGUUGGUGAGGUAAUGGCUCACCAAGGCCAAGACGGGUAGCCGGACUGAGAGGUUGGACGGCCACACUGAAACUGAGAUACGGUCCAGACUCCUACGGGAGGCAGCAGUGGGGAAUUUUGCGCAAUGGGCGAAAGCCUGACGCAGCGACGCCGCGUGGAGGAAGAAGGUUUUCGGAUUGUAAACUCCUUUCGUGUGGGAAAAAGCUUUAUAAUGAUUUAUAGAGUGAUGGUACUGCAGGAAGAAGCCAUGGCUAACUCUGUG